Molecule: ribosomal RNA, 447 nt
Filed under: uncultured bacterium
Lineage: Bacteria
Description: partial 16S rRNA
Rfam family: Bacterial small subunit ribosomal RNA
Source: RNAcentral
GUGCAGCAGGCGAGAAUCUUCCACAAUGGGCGAAAGCCUGAUGGAGCGACGCCGCGUGACUGAAGAAGCCCUUCGGGGUGUAAAAGUCUUUUAUCUGGGAACAAUUCCCCGCUUGCGGGGUGAGGGUACCAGAUGAAUAAGGGGCCGCCAAACUCGUGCCAGCAGCGGCGGUAAGACGAGUGCCCCGAGCGUUAUCCGGAAUUAUUGGGCGUAAAGCGUCUGUAGGGGGUUUGACGCGUCUCUUGUUAAAUUUCACUGCUCAACAGUGAAUCUGCGAAGGAAACGGUUAAACUUGAGGAUGUGAGAGGCUGAUGGAACUCAGGGAGUAGGGGUGAAAUCCGUUGAGACCCUGAGGAACACCAAAGGCGAAGGCAUUCAGCUGGCGCAUUCCUGACCCUGAGAGACGAAAGCGUGGGUAGCGAACGGGAUUAGAUACCCCCGUAGUCC